AUUGAACGCUGGCGGCAGGCCUAACACAUGCAAGUCGAGCGGAUGAGUGGAGCUUGCUCCAUGAUUCAGCGGCGGACGGGUGAGUAAUGCCUAGGAAUCUGCCUGGUAGUGGGGGACAACGUUUCGAAAGGAACGCUAAUACCGCAUACGUCCUACGGGAGAAAGCAGGGGGACCUUCGGGCCUUGCGCUAUCAGAUGAGCCUAGGUCGGAUUAGCUAGUAGGUGAGGUAAUGGCUCACCUAGGCGACGAUCCGUAACUGGUCUGAGAGGAUGAUCAGUCACACUGGAACUGAGACACGGUCCAGACUCCUACGGGAGGCAGCAGUGGGGAAUAUUGGACAAUGGGCGAAAGCCUGAUCCAGCCAUGCCGCGUGUGUGAAGAAGGUCUUCGGAUUGUAAACUGCUUUGUACGGACGAAACGGUGAGCUCUAAUACAGUUUGCUAAUGACGGUACCGUAAGAAUAAGCACCGGCUAACUACGUAG
Molecule: ribosomal RNA, 484 nt
Filed under: uncultured bacterium
Lineage: Bacteria
Description: bacterial SSU rRNA
Rfam family: Bacterial small subunit ribosomal RNA
Source: RNAcentral